GAUGAACGCUGGCGGCGUGCUUAACGCAUGCAAGUCGAACGGUGAAGGCGGAGCUUGCUCUGCUGGAUCAGUGGCGAACGGGUGAGUAACACGUGAGCAAUCUGCCCCUGACUCUGGGAUAAGCGCUGGAAACGGCGUCUAAUACUGGAUACGAGCUGCGAAGGCAUCUUCAGCAGCUGGAAAGAACUUCGGUCAGGGAUGAGCUCGCGGCCUAUCAGCUUGUUGGUGAGGUAACGGCUCACCAAGGCGUCGACGGGUAGCCGGCCUGAGAGGGUGACCGGCCACACUGGGACUGAGACACGGCCCAGACUCCUACGGGAGGCAGCAGUGGGGAAUAUUGCACAAUGGGCGAAAGCCUGAUGCAGCAACGCCGCGUGAGGGACGACGGCCUUCGGGUUGUAAACCUCUUUUAGCAGGGAAGAAGCGAAAGUGACGGUACCUGCAGAAAAAGCGCCGGCUAACUACGUG
Molecule: ribosomal RNA, 468 nt
Filed under: uncultured bacterium
Lineage: Bacteria
Description: partial 16S ribosomal RNA
Rfam family: Bacterial small subunit ribosomal RNA
Source: RNAcentral